UACGAAGGGGGCUAGCGUUGUUCGGAAUUACUGGGCGUAAAGCGUGCGCAGGCGGCUUCUCAAGUCAGGGGUGAAAGCCCAGAGCUCAACUCUGGAAUUGCCUUUGAGACUGAGUGGCUUGAGUACGAGAGAGGUGAGUGGAAUUCCCAGUGUAGAGGUGAAAUUCGUAGAUAUUGGGAAGAACACCGGUGGCGAAGGCGGCUCACUGGCCCGGUACUGACGCUGAGGUGCGAAAGCGUGGGGAGCAAACAGG
RNAcentral lists this ribosomal RNA (253 nucleotides) under uncultured bacterium. Its description in RNAcentral is "partial 16S ribosomal RNA". It matches the Rfam family "Bacterial small subunit ribosomal RNA", at positions 524 to 776 of the family's 1533-position model. The record is from RNAcentral.